UGUGAGAGGGGCAUUACUGAAUGCAGU
This 27-nucleotide non-coding RNA is filed under the name Homo sapiens (human). The record is from RNAcentral. Lineage: Eukaryota; Metazoa; Chordata; Mammalia; Primates; Hominidae.